UACGGAGGAUCCGAGCGUUAUCCGGAUUUAUUGGGUUAAAAGGGUGCGUAGGCGGUUCUUUAAGUCAGGGGUGAAAGACGGCAGCUUAACUGUCGCAGUGCCUUUGAUACUGAAGAACUUGAAUACGGUUGAGGUAUGCGGAAUGAGACAAGUAGCGGUGAAAUGCAUAGAUAUGUCUCAGAACACCGAUUGCGAAGGCAGCAUUCCAAGCCGUUAUUGACGCUGAUGCACGAAAGCGUGGGGAUCGAACAGG
Molecule: ribosomal RNA, 253 nt
Filed under: uncultured bacterium
Lineage: Bacteria
Description: partial 16S ribosomal RNA
Rfam family: Bacterial small subunit ribosomal RNA
Source: RNAcentral